UGGGGAAUUUUGGACAAUGGGCGAAAGCCUGAUCCAGCAAUGCCGCGUGUGUGAAGAAGGCCUUCGGGUUGUAAAGCACUUUUGUCCGGAAAGAAAUCCUUGGCUCUAAUACAGUCGGGGGAUGACGGUACCGGAAGAAUAAGCACCGGCUAACUACGUGCCAGCAGCCGCGGUAAUACGUAGGGUGCAAGCGUUAAUCGGAAUUACUGGGCGUAAAGCGUGCGCAGGCGGUUUGCUAAGACCGAUGUGAAAUCCCCGGGCUCAACCUGGGAACUGCAUUGGUGACUGGCAGGCUAGAGUAUGGCAGAGGGGGGUAGAAUUCCACGUGUAGCAGUGAAAUGCGUAGAGAUGUGGAGGAAUACCGAUGGCGAAGGCAGCCCCCUGGGCCAAUACUGACGCUCAUGCACGAAAGCGUGGGGAGCAAACAGGAUUAGAUACCCUGGUAGUCCACGCCCUAAACGAUGUCAACUAGUUGUUGGGGAUUCAUUUCCUUAGUAACGUAGCUAACGCGUGAAGUUGACCGCCUGGGGAGUACGGUCGCAAGAUUAAAACUUAAAUGAAUUGACGGGGUCAUAGCUGUUUUCU
Molecule: ribosomal RNA, 585 nt
Filed under: uncultured bacterium
Lineage: Bacteria
Description: partial 16S ribosomal RNA
Rfam family: Bacterial small subunit ribosomal RNA
Source: RNAcentral